AGAUCCGAUAGGGGACU
RNAcentral lists this transfer RNA (17 nucleotides) under Diplostephium sp. CAJ2. RNAcentral's name for it is "partial tRNA-Thr". The record is from RNAcentral. Lineage: Eukaryota; Viridiplantae; Streptophyta; Magnoliopsida; Asterales; Asteraceae.